Molecule: ribosomal RNA, 472 nt
Filed under: uncultured bacterium
Lineage: Bacteria
Description: partial 16S ribosomal RNA
Rfam family: Bacterial small subunit ribosomal RNA
Source: RNAcentral
GACGAACGCUGGCGGCGUGCUUAACACAUGCAAGUCGAACGCUGAAGCUUGGUGCUUGUAUUGGGUGGGUGUGUGGCGAAAGGGUGAGUAAAACGUGAGUAACAUGUCCUUGACUCUGGGAUAUGCCUGGGUAACUGGGUCUCUUACUGGAUAUGACAUGUCUCCGCCUGGUGGUGUGUGGAAAGGGUUUUACUGGUUUUGGAUGGGCUCACGGGCUAUCAGCUUGUUGGCGGGGUAAUGGCUCACCAAGGCGACGACGGGUAGCCGGCCUGAGAGGGUGACCGGCCACACGGGGACAGAGACACGGCCGGGAGUCCUGCGGGAGGCAGCAGUGGGGAAGAUUGCACGAUGGGCGGAAGCCUGAUGCAGCAACGCCGCGUGAGGGAUGACGGCCUUCGGGUUGUAAACCUCUUUCAGCACGGAAGAAGCGAAAGUGACGGUACGUGCAGAAGAAGCGCCGGCUAACUACGUG